RNAcentral lists this long non-coding RNA (736 nucleotides) under Malus domestica (apple). RNAcentral describes it as "long non-coding RNA (MDOM_LNC008607)". Lineage: Eukaryota; Viridiplantae; Streptophyta; Magnoliopsida; Rosales; Rosaceae. The record is from RNAcentral.
UCAUGGUUUGUGGAAGCCCUAAAUGAUUAGCAAACACUAAUCAUUAAGGGAGAAUUGAAAUGUGGUUUCAAUUCACAAUCGAUCGUUAAGAGUAACAAUCGCCCACUACCUCGCUAAUUGGAACCUAAUGGAUCGUACACCGAGUAAGGAUGUAUGUGAGGAAAUUAAAUGAAAUGGAUAAGCAAUUAAAUGGUUUAAUUGAUGAAUGGUCAAGAUUAAUUAAUUAGUUAAUUAAUUUUACGAAAGGUUCGUAUUGGGCUUUUAAGUUUGUUUUGGGCUUCGGGUCUCAAAAGCGUUUUGGUCCACAAGGCCCAUUAUGUUUAAGUUGUAUGACAACUAAAACAAAAUGGGCAAUUAGCCCAAUAACAUUAAUAUGGCCGGCCAUUAGGGUGAAUGGGCAAGCUUGGAUUAAUUACAAGUUUGCCACUCACUUGAAAUGAAGUAUAAAAGGAACUUUAUAGCUUUAUUUCUCAUUAGGGUUUUCUUAAAGAAAUUGGGUGAAACACUUUCUCUCAUUUUUCUCUAAAGAGGCCGGCCACUUAAGGGAGGGACAUCUAGCAAUCUCUUCUUCCCUAAGUCAUCCAUAUUAUCUUCACAAGAUACAUCCUUGGUGUGGAGAGUUAGAGACAUCAAAUUUUUGGUGUUUUGGAGAACAAAUCCUAAAAUCCUCAAAGAAGCAAAGGAGCACUAAAAGGAGGAAAAUCACAAGGAAUAUCCAAGGAGCUUGGAGGUGACU